GGGGAGCUUUACAUGCAGUCGAGGGGCAGCACGGUGUAGCAUACAUNUGGUGGCGACCGGCGCACGGGUGAGUAACGCGUAUGCAACCUACCUAUCAGAGGGGAAUAACCCGGCGAAAGUCGGACUAAUACCGCAUAAAACAGGGGUUCCACAUGGAAAUAUUUGUUAAAGAAUAAUCGCUGAUAGAUGGGCAUGCGUUCCAUUAGAUAGUUGGUGAGGUAACGGCUCACCAAGUCCACGAUGGAUAGGGGUUCUGAGAGGAAGGUCCCCCACACUGGUACUGAGACACGGACCAGACUCCUACGGGAGGCAGCAGUGAGGAAUAUUGGUCAAUGGGCGUGAGCCUGAACCAGCCAAGUCGCGUGAAGGAUGAAGGAUCUAUGGUUUGUAAACUUCUUUUAUAUGGGGAUAAAGUGAGGAACGUGUUCCUUUUUGUAUGUACCAUAUGAAUAAGCGUCGGCUAACUCCGUGCCAGCAGCCGCGGUAAUACGGAGGAUGCGAGCGUUAUCCGGAUUUAUUGGGUUUAAAGGGUGCGUAGGUGGUUAAUUAAGUCAGCGGUGAAAGUUUGUGGCUCAACCAUAAAAUUGCCGUUGAAACUGGUUGACUUGAGUAUAUUUGAGGUAGGCGGAAUGCGUGGUGUAGCGGUGAAAUGCAUAGAUAUCACGCAGAACUCCGAUUGCGAAGGCAGCUUACUAUACUAUAACUGACACUGAAGCACGAAAGCGUGGGGAUCAAACAGGAUUAGAUACC
Molecule: ribosomal RNA, 750 nt
Filed under: uncultured bacterium
Lineage: Bacteria
Description: bacterial SSU rRNA
Rfam family: Bacterial small subunit ribosomal RNA
Source: RNAcentral